RNAcentral lists this ribosomal RNA (444 nucleotides) under Hanseniaspora opuntiae. Its description in RNAcentral is "partial large subunit ribosomal RNA". It matches the Rfam family "Eukaryotic large subunit ribosomal RNA", at positions 191 to 649 of the family's 3401-position model. Lineage: Eukaryota; Fungi; Ascomycota; Saccharomycetes; Saccharomycodales; Saccharomycodaceae. The record is from RNAcentral.
UGGAACAGGACGUCAUAGAGGGUGAGAAUCCCGUUUGGCGAGGAUACCUUUUCUCUGUAAGACUUUUUCGAAGAGUCGAGUUGUUUGGGAAUGCAGCUCAAAGUGGGUGGUAAAUUCCAUCUAAAGCUAAAUAUUGGCGAGAGACCGAUAGCGAACAAGUACAGUGAUGGAAAGAUGAAAAGAACUUUGAAAAGAGAGUGAAAAAGUACGUGAAAUUGUUGAAAGGGAAGGGCAUUUGAUCAGACAUGGUGUUUUUUGCAUGCACUCGCCUCUCGUGGGCUUGGGCCUCUCAAAAAUUUCACUGGGCCAACAUCAAUUCUGGCAGUAGGAUAAAUCAUUAAGAAUGUAGCUACCUCGGUAGUGUUAUAGCUUAUUGGAAUACUGCUAGCUGGGAUUGAGGACUGCGCUUCGGCAAGGAUGUUGGCAUAAUGGUUAAAUGCCGCC